UACGUAGGGUGCGAGCGUUAAUCGGAAUUACUGGGCGUAAAGCGUGCGCAGGCGGUUUCGUAAGACAGAUGUGAAAUCCCCGGGCUUAACCUGGGAACUGCGUUUGUGACUGCGAGACUUGAGUGCGGCAGAGGGGGGUGGAAUUCCACGUGUAGCAGUGAAAUGCGUAGAGAUGUGGAGGAACACCGAUGGCGAAGGCAGCCCCCUGGGUCGACACUGACGCUCAUGCACGAAAGCGUGGGGAGCAAACAGG
Molecule: ribosomal RNA, 253 nt
Filed under: uncultured bacterium
Lineage: Bacteria
Also listed under: 1 other name
Description: partial 16S ribosomal RNA
Rfam family: Bacterial small subunit ribosomal RNA
Source: RNAcentral